UAGGCAAAACCAAUGUGUGCGAACUGUC
RNAcentral lists this non-coding RNA (28 nucleotides) under Homo sapiens (human). The record is from RNAcentral. Lineage: Eukaryota; Metazoa; Chordata; Mammalia; Primates; Hominidae.